RNAcentral lists this ribosomal RNA (468 nucleotides) under uncultured bacterium. Its description in RNAcentral is "partial 16S ribosomal RNA". It matches the Rfam family "Bacterial small subunit ribosomal RNA", at positions 28 to 507 of the family's 1533-position model. The record is from RNAcentral.
GACGAACGCUGGCGGCGUGCUUAACACAUGCAUGUCGAACGGAAAGUCCCUGCUUUUGUGGGGUGCCCGAGUGGCGAACGGGUGAGUAACACGUGAGUAACCUUCCCUUGACUUUGUGAUAACUUCAGGAAACUGGUGUUAAUACCGGAUAGGAGCUCCUGCUGCAGGGUGGGGGUUGGAAAGCUUCGGCGGUUGGGGAUAGACUCGCGGCUUAUCAGCUUGUUGGUGGGGUAGUGGCUUACCAAGGCAUUGACCGGUAGCCGGCCUGAGAGGGUGACCGGGCACAUUGGGACUGAGGUACGGCCCAGAGUCCUACGGGAGGCAGCAGUGGGGAUUAUUGCACAAUGGGCGGAAGCCUGAUGCAGCAACGCCGCGUGCGGGAUGACGGCCUUCGGGUUGUAAACCGCUUUCGCCUGUGACGAAGCGUGAGUGACGGUAAUGGGUAAAGAAGCACCGGCUAACUACGUG